RNAcentral lists this ribosomal RNA (212 nucleotides) under uncultured bacterium. RNAcentral describes it as "partial 16S ribosomal RNA". It matches the Rfam family "Bacterial small subunit ribosomal RNA", at positions 524 to 734 of the family's 1533-position model. The record is from RNAcentral.
GACGUAGGGCGCGAGCGUUGUCCGGAUUUAUUGGGCGUAAAGAGCUCGUAGGCGGCUUGUUGCGUCGGCUGUGAAAACCCGCGGCUUAACCGUGGGCUUGCAGCCGAUACGGGCAGACUGGAGUGUGGUAGGGGAGAUCGGAAUUCCGUGGUGUAGCGGUGAAAUGCGCAGAUAUCAGAGGAACACCGGUGGCGAAGGCGGAUCUCGUGGGC